RNAcentral lists this microRNA precursor (102 nucleotides) under Marmota monax (woodchuck). The record is from RNAcentral. Lineage: Eukaryota; Metazoa; Chordata; Mammalia; Rodentia; Sciuridae.
AGUGGAAUUGUUGGUCAUAUGGUAAUUCUAUCUUUAACAUUUUGAUAAGCUGUCAAAAUAUUUUCCACAGUGGCUGCACAAUUUUGCAAUUCCACCAACAAU